UCGGAACGUGCCCAAUCGUGGGGGAUAACGUAGAGAAAUUUACGCUAAUACCGCAUACGAUCUAAGGAUGAAAGCGGGGGAUCGCAAGACCUCGCGCGAUUGGAGCGGCUGAUAUCAGAUUAGCUUGUUGGUGAGGUAAAAGCUCACCAAGGCGACGAUCUGUAGCUGGUUUGAGAGAACGACCAGCCACACUGGGACUGAGACACGGCCCAG
RNAcentral lists this ribosomal RNA (213 nucleotides) under uncultured bacterium. RNAcentral's name for it is "partial 16S ribosomal RNA". It matches the Rfam family "Bacterial small subunit ribosomal RNA", at positions 118 to 334 of the family's 1533-position model. The record is from RNAcentral.